ACCGACACAGGUGGUCAGGUAGAGAAUACCAAGGCGCUUGAGAGAACUCGGGUGAAGGAACUAGGCAAAAUGGUGCCGUAACUUCGGGAGAAGGCACGCUGAUAUGUAGGUGAAGCGGUUUACCCGUGGAGCUGAAAUCAGUCGAAGAUACCAGCUGGCUGCAACUGUUUAUUAAAAACACAGCACUGUGCAAACACGAAAGUGGACGUAUACGGUGUGACGCCUGCCCGGUGCCGGAAGG
This 241-nucleotide ribosomal RNA is filed under the name Citrobacter werkmanii. Its description in RNAcentral is "partial 23S ribosomal RNA". It matches the Rfam family "Bacterial large subunit ribosomal RNA", at positions 1653 to 1876 of the family's 2925-position model. The record is from RNAcentral. Lineage: Bacteria; Pseudomonadati; Pseudomonadota; Gammaproteobacteria; Enterobacterales; Enterobacteriaceae. RNAcentral also lists the same sequence under 1 other name.